Molecule: ribosomal RNA, 582 nt
Filed under: uncultured bacterium
Lineage: Bacteria
Description: partial 16S ribosomal RNA
Rfam family: Bacterial small subunit ribosomal RNA
Source: RNAcentral
UGGGGAAUUUUGGACAAUGGGCGAAAGCCUGAUCCAGCAAUGCCGCGUGUGUGAAGAAGGCCUUCGGGUUGUAAAGCACUUUUGUCCGGAAAGAAAUCCUUGGCUCUAAUACAGUCGGGGGAUGACGGUACCGGAAGAAUAAGCACCGGCUAACUACGUGCCAGCAGCCGCGGUAAUACGUAGGGUGCAAGCGUUAAUCGGAAUUACUGGGCGUAAAGCGUGCGCAGGCGGUUUGCUAAGACCGAUGUGAAAUCCCCGGGCUAACCUGGGAACUGCAUUGGUGACUGGCAGGCUAGAGUAUGGCAGAGGGGGGUAGAAUUCCACGUGUAGCAGUGAAAUGCGUAGAGAUGUGGAGGAAUACCGAUGGCGAAGGCAGCCCCCUGGGCCAAUACUGACGCUCAUGCACGAAAGCGUGGGGAGCAAACAGGAUUAGAUACCCUGGUAGUCCACGCCCUAAACGAUGUCAACUAGUUGUUGGGGAUUCAUUUCCUUAGUAACGUAGCUAACGCGUGAAGUUGACCGCCUGGGGAGUACGGUCGCAAGAUUAAAACUCAAAGGAAUUGACGGGGUCAUAGCUUUUCC